GAUGAACGCUGGCGGCAUGCCUAACACAUGCAGGUCGAUCGGUAAGGCCCUUCGGAGUACACGAGAGGCGGACGGCUGAGUAACGCGUAGGAACACACCCUGCAGUGAGGGAUAAGACACCGAAAGGUGUUCUAAUACCGCCUACGGGCUUCGGAUUAAAGCAUUUAUGCGCUGAAGGAGUGGCCUGCGUCAUAUUAGAUAGUUGGUGAGGUAAUGGCUCACCAAGUCAAUGAUGAGUAGCUGGUCUGAGAGGAUGAUCAGCCAGACUGGAACUGAGACACGGUCCAGACUCCUACGGGAGGCAGCAGUGAGGAAUAGUUCACAAUGAGCGAAAGCUUGAUGGAGCAAUGCCGCGUGCAGGAUGAAGGCCCUCGGGUUGUAAACUGCUUUUAGAAGAGAAGAUUAUGACGGUAACUUAUGAAUAAGGGACGGCUAGCUACGUG
RNAcentral lists this ribosomal RNA (443 nucleotides) under uncultured bacterium. RNAcentral describes it as "partial 16S ribosomal RNA". It matches the Rfam family "Bacterial small subunit ribosomal RNA", at positions 28 to 507 of the family's 1533-position model. The record is from RNAcentral.